CUCCUCAGGACCUCCAGGACAGAUGGGACCACCUGGGCCUGCAGGGCCUCCAGGUUCCAAAGGUGACCAGGGCCAGACAGGAGAGACAGGCCCAGUGGGACCUCCAGGUCUCCUGGGACCACCAGGGCCACGCGGGCUUCCUGGAGAGAUGGGACGCCCUGGUCCACCAGGCCCUCCUGGCCCAGCAGGCAGUCCUGGCCUCUUGCCAAACAGUCCCCAAGGCGUCCUCUACUCCCUGCAGACACCUACAGACAAGGAGAAUGGAGACUCCCAGCUCAACCCUGCUGUUGUAGACACAGUGCUGACUGGCAUCCCAGGUCCCCGG
Molecule: long non-coding RNA, 325 nt
Filed under: Rattus norvegicus (Norway rat)
Lineage: Eukaryota; Metazoa; Chordata; Mammalia; Rodentia; Muridae
Description: long non-coding RNA NONRATT007379
Source: RNAcentral